UUCCUUUAAUCGUCAACCCGGAGUCCCACGGCGGCUAAUGCAAGAGGCCAAAAAAUGUUUGGAGGAAGAAAAACAAAGGCAGGAAGUGGCGGCGGCCUGACGGUGCGUGUGUCUGUAAAGAAGGGAGGGAACCGGUUCAAUCUUUUCUUGUUUUUUCGAACUUCAAGGUCUAGGCAG
Molecule: long non-coding RNA, 177 nt
Filed under: Castor canadensis (American beaver)
Lineage: Eukaryota; Metazoa; Chordata; Mammalia; Rodentia; Castoridae
Description: HOXA11 antisense RNA 1 conserved region 6 (ENSCCNG00000023482.1)
Rfam family: HOXA11 antisense RNA 1 conserved region 6
Source: RNAcentral